AGAGUUUGAUCAUGGCUCAGAUUGAACGCUGGCGGCAGGCCUAACACAUGCAAGUCGAACGGUAACAGGAAGCAGCUUGCUGCUUUGCUGACGAGUGGCGGACGGGUGAGUAAUGUCUGGGAAACUGCCUGAUGGAGGGGGAUAACUACUGGAAACGGUGGCUAAUACCGCAUAACGUCGCAAGACCAAAGAGGGGGACCUUCGGGCCUCUUGCCAUCAGAUGUGCCCAGAUGGGAUUAGCUUGUUGGUGAGGUAACGGCUCACCAAGGCGACGAUCCCUAGCUGGUCUGAGAGGAUGACCAGCCACACUGGAACUGAGACACGGUCCAGACUCCUACGGGAGGCAGCAGUGGGGAAUAUUGCACAAUGGGCGCAAGCCUGAUGCAGCCAUGCCGCGUGUAUGAAGAAGGCCUUCGGGUUGUAAAGUACUUUCAGCGGGGAGGAAGGUGUUGUGGUUAAUAACCGCAGCAAUUGACGUUACCCGCAGAAGAAGCACCGGCUAACUCCGUGCCAGCAGCCGCGGUAAUACGGAGGGUGCAAGCGUUAAUCGGAAUUACUGGGCGUAAAGCGCACGCAGGCGGUCUGUCAAGUCGGAUGUGAAAUCCCCGGGCUCAACCUGGGAACUGCAUUCGAAACUGGCAGGCUUGAGUCUUGUAGAGGGGGGUAGAAUUCCAGGUGUAGCGGUGAAAUGCGUAGAGAUCUGGAGGAAUACCGGUGGCGAAGGCGGCCCCCUGGACAAAGACUGACGCUCAGGUGCGAAAGCGUGGGGAGCAAACAGGAUUAGAUACCCUGGUAGUCCACGCCGUAAACGAUGUCUACUUGGAGGUUGUGCCCUUGAGGCGUGGCUUCCGGAGCUAACGCGUUAAGUAGACCGCCUGGGGAGUACGGCCGCAAGGUUAAAACUCAAAUGAAUUGACGGGGGCCCGCACAAGCGGUGGAGCAUGUGGUUUAAUUCGAUGCAACGCGAAGAACCUUACCUGGUCUUGACAUCCACAGAACUUUCCAGAGAUGGAUUGGUGCCUUCGGGAACUGUGAGACAGGUGCUGCAUGGCUGUCGUCAGCUCGUGUUGUGAAAUGUUGGGUUAAGUCCCGCAACGAGCGCAACCCUUAUCCUUUGUUGCCAGCGGUCCGGCCGGGAACUCAAAGGAGACUGCCAGUGAUAAACUGGAGGAAGGUGGGGAUGACGUCAAGUCAUCAUGGCCCUUACGACCAGGGCUACACACGUGCUACAAUGGCGCAUACAAAGAGAAGCGACCUCGCGAGAGUAAGCGGACCUCAUAAAGUGCGUCGUAGUCCGGAUUGGAGUCUGCAACUCGACUCCAUGAAGUCGGAAUCGCUAGUAAUCGUGGAUCAGAAUGCCACGGUGAAUACGUUCCCGGGCCUUGUACACACCGCCCGUCACACCAUGGGAGUGGGUUGCAAAAGAAGUAGGUAGCUUAACCUUCGGGGGGGCGCUUACCACUUUGUGAUUCAUGACUGGGGUGAAGUCGUAACAAGGUAACCGUAGGGGAACCUGCGGUUGGAUCACCU
This 1530-nucleotide ribosomal RNA is filed under the name Salmonella enterica subsp. enterica serovar Typhi. Its description in RNAcentral is "bacterial SSU rRNA". It matches the Rfam family "Bacterial small subunit ribosomal RNA". The record is from RNAcentral. Lineage: Bacteria; Pseudomonadati; Pseudomonadota; Gammaproteobacteria; Enterobacterales; Enterobacteriaceae.